Molecule: ribosomal RNA, 253 nt
Filed under: uncultured bacterium
Lineage: Bacteria
Description: partial 16S ribosomal RNA
Rfam family: Bacterial small subunit ribosomal RNA
Source: RNAcentral
GACGUAGGGCGCGAGCGUUGUCCGGAUUUAUUGGGCGUAAGGAGCUCGUAGGCGGCUUGUCGCGUCGUCCGUGAAAACUUGGGGCUCAACCCCAAGCUUGCGGUCGAUACGGGCAGGCUAGAGUUCGGUAGGGGAGACUGGAAUUCCUGGUGUAGCGGUGAAAUGCGCAGAUAUCAGGAGGAACACCGGUGGCGAAGGCGGGUCUCUGGGCCGAUACUGACGCUGAGGAGCGAAAGCGUGGGGAGCGAACAGG